GAUAAACGCUGGCGGCGCACAUAAGACAUGCAAGUCGAACGGACUUAACUCAUUCUUUUAGAUUGAGAGCGGUUAGUGGCGGACUGGUGAGUAACACGUAAGCAACCUGCCUAUUAGAGGGGAAUAACAGUGAGAAAUCAUUGCUAAUACCGCAUAUGCCAUGAACAUCACAUGAUGAAAAUGGGAAAAGAGUAAUCUGCUAGUAGAUGGGCUCGCGUCUGAUUAGAUAGUUGGUGGGGUAACGGCCUACCAAGUCGACGAUCAGUAGCCGGACUGAGAGGUUGAACGGCCACAUUGGGACUGAGAUACGGCCCAG
RNAcentral lists this ribosomal RNA (316 nucleotides) under uncultured bacterium. RNAcentral's name for it is "bacterial SSU rRNA". It matches the Rfam family "Bacterial small subunit ribosomal RNA", at positions 28 to 334 of the family's 1533-position model. The record is from RNAcentral.